Molecule: long non-coding RNA, 519 nt
Organism: Gadus chalcogrammus (walleye pollock)
Lineage: Eukaryota; Metazoa; Chordata; Actinopteri; Gadiformes; Gadidae
Exons: 5
Source: RefSeq, a predicted model, not a curated record
CCCCCCUGGACCCGCCCUCAUCAGGACCAACUGGGGCAAGAGUGGCCCCACCAUCCCCAUCAUCAUUGGGUUGCUUGUUCUCCUCCUCGCUGCUGCUGCUGCUGUUGUUGGAGUCCUUCUGUACAAGAAGAGGAACGCUUCAGACAAGCGACAAAAACCAGGUGGUUCUGACACCAGCUCUGAGAACACUGAGGGGCAGAAUCCGGCUCCUGAGGCCCAACCUCUGACCAAAGUCUAAAGUUAAAUCAUGAAGAGUCUUCUCACAUUCCUCUUCCUAAAGCAGGUUGGAGUGGAUCGCUGUCAUCUAUAAUCAUCACAAUCAGUUUGGGGACUUCAGCUAACUAAAGAUGCUAUAUUUGCUUAAUUAGAUUAACAUUCAUACUUUAUUUUGAUAAAAAACAUAAAUCCGUAAGAAGUGUAAAUCAAUUAGAUCUCUGUAUUUUUGAUCGAUUAACUCAAUGGGUUAAUCCUGCAAUCUUUCACUGACCCUUGGAAACCAUGGCAACAUGACCCCGCCAU